Molecule: ribosomal RNA, 468 nt
Filed under: uncultured bacterium
Lineage: Bacteria
Description: partial 16S ribosomal RNA
Rfam family: Bacterial small subunit ribosomal RNA
Source: RNAcentral
GACGAACGCUGGCGGCGUGCUUAACACAUGCAAGUCGAACGGAAAGGCCCUGCUUUUGUGGGGUGCUCGAGUGGCGAACGGGUGAGUAACACGUGAGUAGCCUGCCCUUGACUUUGGGAUAACUUCAGGAAACUGGGGCUAAUACCGGAUAGGAGCUCCUGCUGCAUGGUGGGGGUUGGAAAGUUUCGGCGGUUGGGGAUGGACUCGCGGCUUAUCAGCUUGUUGGUGGGGUAGUGGCUUACCAAGGCUUUGACGGGUAGUCGGCCUGAGAGGGUGACCGGCCACAUUGGGACUGAGAUACGGCCCAGACUCCUACGGGAGGCAGCAGUGGGGAAUAUUGCACAAUGGGCGGAAGCCUGAUGCAGCAACGCCGCGUGCGGGAUGACGGCCUUCGGGUUGUAAACCGCUUUCGCCUGUGACGAAGCGUGAGUGACGGUAAUGGGUAAAGAAGCACCGGCUAACUACGUG